This 497-nucleotide ribosomal RNA is filed under the name uncultured bacterium. RNAcentral describes it as "partial 16S ribosomal RNA". It matches the Rfam family "Bacterial small subunit ribosomal RNA", at positions 28 to 507 of the family's 1533-position model. The record is from RNAcentral.
GAUGAACGCUGGCGGCGUGCCUAAUACAUGCAAGUCGAGCGAACGGACGAGAAGCUUGCUUUUCUGAUUUUAGCGGCGGACGGGUGAGUAACACGUGGAUAACCUACCUAUAAGACUGGGAUAACUUCGGGAAACCGGAGCUAAUACCGGAUAAUAUUUUGAACCGCAUGGUUCAAAAGUGAAAGACGGUCUUGCUGUCACUUAUAGAUGGAUCCGCGCUGCAUUAGCUAGUUGGUAAGGUAACGGCUUACCAAGGCAACGAUGCAUAGCCGACCUGAGAGGGUGAUCGGCCACACUGGAACUGAGACAAGGUCCAGACUCCUACGGGAGGCAGCAGUAGGGAAGCUUCCGCAAUGGGCGAAAGCCUGACGGAGCAACGCCGCGUGAGUGAUGAUGGUCUUCGGAUCGUAAAACUCUGUUAUUAGGGAAGAACAUAUGUGUAAGUAACUGUGCACAUCUUGACGGUACCUAAUCAGAAAGCCACGGCUAACUACGUG